GAUGAAGAACGUAGUGAAAUGCGAUAAGUAAUGUGAAUUGCAGAAUUCAGUGAAUCAUCGAAUCUUUGAACGCACAUUGCGCCCCCUGGUAUUCCGGGGGGCAUUCCUGUUCGAGCGUCAUUUCACCACUCAAGCCUCGCUUGGUAUUGGGCAACGCGGUCCGCCGCGUGCCUCAAAUCGACCGGCUGGGUCUUCUGUCCCCUAAGCGUUGUGGAAACUAUUCGCUAAAGGGUGUUCGGGAGGCUACGCCGUAAAACAACCCCAUUUCUAAGGUUGACCUCGGAUCAGGUAGGGAUACCCGCUGAACUUAAGCAUAUCAAUAAGCGGAGGA
Molecule: unclassified non-coding RNA, 331 nt
Filed under: soil metagenome
Description: partial contains 5.8S ribosomal RNA, internal transcribed spacer 2, and large subunit ribosomal RNA
Rfam family: 5.8S ribosomal RNA (bases 1-120)
Source: RNAcentral